ACUCCUACGGGAGGCAGCAGUGGGGAAUAUUGGACAAUGGGCGAAAGCCUGAUCCAGCCAUGCCGCGUGUGUGAAGAAGGUCUUCGGAUUGUAAAGCACUUUAAGUUGGGAGGAAGGGUUGUAGAUUAAUACUCUGCAAUUUUGACGUUACCGACAGAAUAAGCACCGGCUAACUCUGUGCCAGCAGCCGCGGUAAUACAGAGGGUGCAAGCGUUAAUCGGAAUUACUGGGCGUAAAGCGCGCGUAGGUGGUUCGUUAAGUUGGAUGUGAAAUCCCCGGGGCUCAACCUGGGGAACUGCAUUCAAAACUGUCGAGCUAGAGUAUGGUAGAGGGUGGUGGAAUUUCCUGUGUAGCGGUGAAAUGCGUAGAUAUAGGAAGGAACACCAGUGGCGAAGGCGACCACCUGGACUGAUACUGACACUGAGGUGCGAAAGCGUGGGGAGCAAACAGGAUUAGACACCCUGGUAGCACAGAG
RNAcentral lists this ribosomal RNA (475 nucleotides) under uncultured bacterium. RNAcentral describes it as "bacterial SSU rRNA". It matches the Rfam family "Bacterial small subunit ribosomal RNA", at positions 335 to 799 of the family's 1533-position model. The record is from RNAcentral.